GACAGAUGCCCCAAGCGUUAGGCGGAAUCACUGGGCUUAAAGCGUGUGUAGGCGGAUCGUUAAGUGUCUUGUGAAAUCCCACGGCUCACCCGUGGAACUGCUGGGCAUACUGGCGAUCUUGGGCCAACUAGGGGCAGUCGGAACAAGCGGUGGAGCGGUGAAAUGCGUAGAUAUCGCUUGGAACGCCGAAGGUGAAAACAGACUGCUGGGGUUGCGCCGACGCUGAGACACGAAAGCCAGGGGAGCAAACGGG
This 253-nucleotide ribosomal RNA is filed under the name uncultured bacterium. Its description in RNAcentral is "partial 16S ribosomal RNA". It matches the Rfam family "Bacterial small subunit ribosomal RNA", at positions 524 to 776 of the family's 1533-position model. The record is from RNAcentral.